This 524-nucleotide ribosomal RNA is filed under the name uncultured bacterium. RNAcentral describes it as "partial 16S ribosomal RNA". It matches the Rfam family "Bacterial small subunit ribosomal RNA", at positions 28 to 523 of the family's 1533-position model. The record is from RNAcentral.
GACGAACGCUGGCGGCGUGCCUAAUACAUGCAAGUCGAACGAAGCUGUUUUAACUGGUGCUUGCACCGACUUAAACAACUGAGUGGCGAACGGGUGAGUAACACGUGGGUGACCUGCCCCAAAGCGGGGGAUAACAUUUGGAAACAGAUGCCAAUACCGCAUAACCACAGAAACCACAUGGUUUCUGUGUCAAAGAUGGUUUCGGCUAUCACUUUGGGAUGGACCCGCGGCGUAUUAGCUAGUUGGUAAGGUAAUGGCUUACCAAGGCAAUGAUACGUAGCCGAACUGAGAGGUUGAUCGGCCACAUUGGGACUGAGACACGGCCCAAACUCCUACGGGAGGCAGCAGUAGGGAAUCUUCCACAAUGGACGAAAGUCUGAUGGAGCAACGCCGCGUGAGUGAAGAAGGUUUUCGGAUCGUAAAACUCUGUUGUCAGAGAAGAACGUGUGCGAGAGUAACUGUUCGUGCAGUGACGGUAUCUGGCCAGAAAGCCACGGCUAACUACGUGCCAGCCGCCGCGGUAA